CCACUUCCAACGACGAAAAGAUGGCCACCAGAGCCACGCUGCUGAUCGCCUUUCUAUUGGUGUCGACCAGCAUGCUCGUUUCCGUGGUGGCAUCCAGAGAAGUUCCGUCGACAGAUCCGAUCAAUCCAGCAAACUCACUUCUGGGCGGAACUGGUCGCAAAUUCACAAUGACACGUGUGGAGAAGACGCGUGAGGUGGUCCCAGGCGGAACUGGUACGCAUUUCAUCGUCUUACCGUCGAUUUUUUUUUUCGUGGUCUUAUGGUCGAUUUAACUGUUAAUAUAUGCGAUAUCUGACUGAUCGAGAGCUUAUUUUUUUUCCUGCUCCGCAGGUGAGGGUGUCAGGGCUAUUUCCCAGGAGAAGAUCAUUUUCGGUGCGCCCAAUAAUUUUGUCUGGUCGACGCGCCUUCCGCCGUGCAGAGCACGAGCAUGCUAAAGAAGUCCAGAUGAUAUCAAGAGCUUUGUUUCCCCUGCACCUUCGUCCCGAUGAUAAAAUCUGUACUAACUAAACGGCUAAUCUUCGCCCGGAUGGCUUAGAUAAAAUGCACGAUUCUUUAUCGUUGUUUCCAUUUAAUUAACGCGAUGGAUCAAGACUGAAAAUAAAGGGGGAAACUUGUUCAGUUCACCUCCAUUACGUUUACAUCCGAUCCGAUAUGGUCGACCUACGUGUAUCGCUGCGAAACCUGCCUCCAUCAAAUUGACUAAGGAUGGCAAUUUUACCCAUGGGUACGGAUACCCACGGAUACCGUACCCGCAUGGGUAGGGUAUGGGAACAAUUUAAUACCCAUGGGUAGUACCCAUACCCUACCCAUUUAGUCAUGGGUAGGGCACGGCUAUAUCCUAUUACUCAUGGAUAUACUCAUACCCUACCCGUUUAUACUUACAUGUGCCCUUACCCGUGAUUCACAUGUGUAACUAUGAUAAAGUUGUGUCGUGAGCGUGUGAACCUAUGUUAAAGUUGUCACCA
RNAcentral lists this long non-coding RNA (965 nucleotides) under Triticum aestivum (bread wheat). Its description in RNAcentral is "long non-coding RNA (TAES_LNC023229)". Lineage: Eukaryota; Viridiplantae; Streptophyta; Magnoliopsida; Poales; Poaceae. The record is from RNAcentral.